This 253-nucleotide ribosomal RNA is filed under the name uncultured bacterium. RNAcentral's name for it is "partial 16S ribosomal RNA". It matches the Rfam family "Bacterial small subunit ribosomal RNA", at positions 524 to 776 of the family's 1533-position model. The record is from RNAcentral.
UACGUAGGGUGCGAGCGUUAAUCGGAAUUACUGGGCGUAAAGCGUGCGCAGGCGGUUCUCCAAGUCCGUUGUGAAAGCCCCGGGCUCAACCUGGGAAUGGCAGUGGAAACUCGGGGACUGGAAUCUGGCAGAGGGGGGUGGAAUGCCGCGUGUAGCAGUGAAAUGCGUAGAGAUGCGGCGGAACACCGAUGGCGAAGGCAGCCCCCUGGGCUGAGAUUGACGCUCAGGCACGAAAGCGUGGGGAGCAAACAGG